RNAcentral lists this microRNA precursor (133 nucleotides) under Mus spretus (western wild mouse). RNAcentral describes it as "microRNA 669f (ENSMSPG00010030020.1)". Lineage: Eukaryota; Metazoa; Chordata; Mammalia; Rodentia; Muridae. The record is from RNAcentral.
UGUAUGUGCCUGUGUGUAUAGUUGUGUGUGCAUGUGCAUGUGUGUAUAUGAAUAUACAUAUACAUACACACACACGUAUAAACGCAAGCACACACACACACAUACACACACACAGAGGAAUGGCACUCGUUGA